This 665-nucleotide long non-coding RNA is filed under the name Amborella trichopoda. RNAcentral's name for it is "long non-coding RNA (ATRI_LNC001833)". The record is from RNAcentral. Lineage: Eukaryota; Viridiplantae; Streptophyta; Magnoliopsida; Amborellales; Amborellaceae.
AAAAGUGUUAUUUCCAGUGAACAGUUGUGACCACAAGCAUGUGCCUGAUCAUUAGAAGUAUUAUUAACCACCUAAAAGUCAGUAACUGUCAAUGCAUCCGGCAUGGCUACAAAAUAACUGCCACACGUCCAUUCCACCGCUAAAAAACAACAUCCAGACAUCACAAAACGAGCGAUCGGUCGAGUAACUCAGCUGGAGUUCGGAUUUGGCCGAGUACGCAGGAGUUUGGUUAUGGCCUGAGUCCAUUAUACACGCAUUUAAGGGAAGAGUGGAGCCUGCAACUUUAACCAACACAUUUAAGGGAAGAGUGUUUUCAAAGCGCCUACAACUUUAACCAACACGCCACGGAAACUUCUUUGUAGACAAAAGUAUACGUGUAGUUUUAUAGUACCUUUUAUUACAAAAUAUAGAACUCAAAUCAUCCCCCAUUAAGAACCUUAAGGGCGGCGGAUUUUGUUUUUUUAACUUCAACUGUAUUCGGUGAGUUAACUCGGCUCGGACAAAGGUCGAGUACCUUGAAUCUUUUUUCUAAACCCCAGUUGAGAGUGUUUUCACAUUGUAGUAGUAGCUACGCAUAUACAAAAAGGAAAAGUAUUCAAUGAGACCAUUUACCUUUGGUACAAGGUUGUCAUAAUUAAUCUUGACUAUUAGAUGUGAAAUUAGAU